CUCUGUCCUUUCGGGGCUCACUCACUACAGGUCUGGGCUUGUGCACCACCCCCUCUUUACCUAGUUGUGGGCCAAGGCUUUGUCCUCCGAUCAAGCUUUCUUCCAAGAUGAGGUCUCACUUAACACCGUCCAACAGGGGAAAAAAAAAAACUCAAAACAUCAGCUUGCAGCUGCACUAGUUCAUGUACUGGAAGUGUUUCUGAUCUAUACUGCUUGAAGUUUUUCCACUGCGUCGUCAUCGUCGUCGUCGUCGUCAUCAUCAUCAUCAUCACCACCACCACCAUCAUCACCAUCAAGCAUAUAGACCAGCCCGCAAUCCGCUCUGUAGAUGCAAAUGCCCUUGACCCUCUUCUCUUCCUGCCUCUAUCUGCCCACAGCUAACAUUGCAGAUGUGUACUAACAUCCCCAGUUAACUUGACGCUGGAUAACAAACCCAGGGCUUUGUGCAUGCUGGGCAAGUGUUCUAUCAAUCAAACUACAUGAGCAACCCAUCUCCACCACCCAUGCUAUCAAUCCCAUACCUGUGGUCACAUGAUUAUUUCCUACCCUUUACCCCUCCUUGCUUCAGAAUGGUCCGCCCA
Molecule: non-coding RNA, 581 nt
Organism: Rattus norvegicus (Norway rat)
Lineage: Eukaryota; Metazoa; Chordata; Mammalia; Rodentia; Muridae
Source: RefSeq, a predicted model, not a curated record